This 200-nucleotide ribosomal RNA is filed under the name uncultured prokaryote. RNAcentral's name for it is "partial 16S ribosomal RNA". It matches the Rfam family "Bacterial small subunit ribosomal RNA", at positions 1183 to 1382 of the family's 1533-position model. The record is from RNAcentral.
CGUCAAGUCCUCAUGGCCCUUACGUCCCGGGCUACACACGUGCUACAAUGGUUGGUACAAAGGGAGGCGAAAUUGUGAAGUGGAGCUAAUCCCAAAAAACCGAUCCCAGUUCGGAUUGCAGUCUGCAACUCGACUGCAUGAAGUUGGAAUCGCUAGUAAUCGCAGAUCAGCAUGCUGCGGUGAAUACGUUCCCGGGCCUU